GGGCAGAGAUGAGGAGGGGGAGACUGUGGGGUGUGCCAAGGGGGCCCUAGGGCUGCGGGUCAGGCCUGUCAUGAUGUGUCAUUAGCAGGAGGCGUUCAGGUGCACCUCUGUCAUGACAGAGUAGGUACUUGGGCAAGUGACCGGAUCUCUGAGCCUCAGUUUACCCAGCUGUAAAACGUGGAUAAUAUCAGCAUACGGCUCAGAGCAGGGCUGAGAGGAGAAAUGAACCAAUGUGAGGAAAUUGCUCAGCAACGUGCCCAACAGACAUUUUGUCAAUACAUGCAGUUGUCAUCGUCAACGCUGCUCAUCUCCUUGGCAGUGCAUAGGCCCCUCUUCCUCGGGUGCCUAAUUUGGGGAACUCCAGGGACAGUCCUGUCUGGCCCCCACUGGGCUUCCUCCAUGCCUGUGUCGGGUGGCCACUUGCUGUAGAUGCAGCUGUAGCUCUCAACUGCCCCGGGUGACGUAUGCCAGGCCACUGGUCUCAGGGCUAUUUGUGUUUGUCCCCAGGGAAUGUCCUGCCUCUGCUGUGUGACCGCCACUGGGGCCGCUCUGCAGGCCGAGGACAGCAAACCUGUGUGCACCUCUGUGUCUGGAAGGCAGGGGGAGGUGGUGCCGUCCUUGUGAUGUCACCCCGAGUUUGGUCUCAGGUGCUUGGCCGACAUGGGUGGUGAUGCGGUGUCGAUCCCCUGGGGUGCGUCUUGUUAGGGUGCAUUGCUUUCUACCCAGUUUUGGGCUCAGCUCCCUUCUGACAUCAACCAGAGCAGCCGACCAAGGCUUUGCCGUUUUGGGGACAGGCCACUGACUUGGUCAUGGGUUCUGCCAGCGCUGAUCCCAGGAUGUCAGUCAACAGAAAAACGAAACCUAAGCCUCGUGUCCAGUGGGCUGCGGCUGGCUCCUGGACUUGUGCUCACGUGCUUUGUGACAGUAGGCGACUGAUCCCACCCCUCAGUCCUUGGCUUCCUCUGAUGAUGCUCAGGCGCUUCCUUUAAAUUCUCUGAGUUCAUUUUCCUCGCCUGUAAAGUAAGGAUGCCAUCAGGGAAGUUGAAACGCUAUCUGAAAUACCUGGAAUCUCUUAGGGUUCCCAUGGCGGGGGUUCCUACACUCACCCAUCCACUAGACGGAUGUUGAGUACUAAGGAGAAUGGUCUUGGUUAUCACCGUGUCCAGCACUGACCGCCUCACAGGUAGUUGGCGUGCGUGUGAGUGUGUGUUUGUGUGUGUUGAAUCAACUAGAUAAAGCAGAAAUUUAUUUUUUUAUCUUAUAAACAAGAAAAUGUUAAUUCAAAGAGGUGACAUGAAUUGUCCAGUGUACAGGGCUGUCCAGUGGGGAGAGCUCUAGUGGACUCCAAAGGCAAGUUCUUUUUUUCUGAGUUCUGAGUGUUGGCGCUACUACAUUCUGGUGAAAAUCAGAGUUUAGUGCCCUGAUCUCCUUUAAAAAAAUCUCUGAUUUCUUCAGGGGAUGUUAAUAAGAUCCACAUUUCCUAGAUAUUGAAAUACUAUUUAACUUGCCGAAUCAGUCUUUGGAACAAGUGUCCAUGUUCUUGGGCAUCAUUAGAGGAAGCCGAGGACUGAGGGGUGGGACCAGUUGCCUAAUGUCACAAAGCAAGUGAGCACAAGUCCAGGAGCCCAGCCCCAGCCUGCUGUUCGUCAAGUGUAUUUCCGUAUCUUCCUUGUUCUCUUUGGCCAGCGUCCUGGGUUUAGCAAACUCCCGGGGAUGAAGGGUUGCAGCAGACCUGCCACCAGACUCAGGCACCAAAUCCUAGGAAGUCAGGCGUGGAGUCGGAACCUCCCUCCCUGCAGGCUCAGCACGGGGAGGGUCUCCUUAAGAUGGGGCAGCGUCUUCGCCUCUGAGCCUCGAGGAUUUGACUCAUCUCCGUUUACCUGCUGGGUGAUGGAUCUGUCUUAGAGCCAAGUUAUCUAUUUAAACCAUCAGGUCUUCUCUGCCAUUGUUUGGAAAUGCAGGAUGAGAAAUCAGGGACGUUCCUUGAUGGAAGAAACCUUUGGAGGUUGCGCCCAGGCACAGGAGUGGCUUGGAGAGAGCGUUAGUUCAGGGCACUCCACCCGCUUUGCGUGGAGAGUUCAGGAGGACGCGUGCCCGAUACGGAUUCACCUUCUUCCUCAUUAAAAGAACUCAGCUUUGCUCUGGGAAGAAUGUAGCCAACUAUCGCUCCUGCUUUCCCAGAUUCCCUGGAGGCCAGGUGCAGUCAGAUGACAUCAGGUGGCCAAGCAGGUGACCAUUUUGCUGGGGGAAGCUUUGGCAUGAGGGUCAGCUCUCUCCGUAGCAGGGGACAGAUACACAUGACCCAGCCCCUCCAGCCCGUCACUCUUGAGGACAUCACACAGACAAGCCAGGUGUACCCGUGAGUUUCCCUGCUUUAUGUUUCCUAGAGGGACGUCUGGGAAGUGGAGCCCACCUGGGGAAGAGCCAGAUUGCGGAGAUGGUGCCCGAGUCCGCCCUCGGGUUGGGAAGGGAGGGUUGGUUUGCAGCUGGCUCUUCUGUUACUUGCAGCCGAGCGCAGCCCAGAUUGCAUGAGCGACUUGCUGGGGCACCGUCUUACCGGGCUGCCACUCAAAGAGCAUGUUCCAGAUAGGUCACUAGGAUGUGCCCCAUAGCAGCCCGUGGACGCACCAGCCUGGCCCCGGCCCCUGAGCUGGCCUGAGAGUUCUGUGUUUAGGGUCUUUUGAUGACUCUCAAGAGAGAGCCGGAACCCCUUCUUCCUGGCACUGGGUACGAGGGAGCUAUGAGGUCAGGAGAACGUAGGCUGGGACCAUGGAGAAGAAAUCUGAUGACGUCUCACUGGGGACAGAAACUUAGAGAUGUUGGUGACGCUCUUAGGAGAGGGGGUUUCCCCAGGGAAAGGCAGCUGCUUUUUCUUUGAGCUACAAGGACAACGAGUCUGGGAGCCGGCAGUAUGGCGAAGGCAGGCCUAGGGCGGGUCAUCUUGGGGUGGAUUCGACACCAGGACCCAGGAAGUCAGCUGGCUUCUAAGGCGGUGACCCUGGGCUCACAAUCCUUUCUUAGUGUUGAAGUGGGGGUCUAGAUGAGAACCACAUGGUAAUCAGAGAAUUGCUUUAAAGAGCUAGGAACCGUGAAGUGUGCCUGGCUCUGCUAUUGACUCUUCAGUAGAUCCGGCACAUCUGCACAGAGAGCCUCAGACCAUGCAGAAGCCCUUUCAGGGCUGCCAAUUAUAGUUGUCUAGAUUGUACACUGCACAAAGCCAGGGGCCACCAACUGCAUAAAAUCACCAUAUAUAAUAGCCCCAGGAAAGGUGCCUGGCACCUGAUGCUCAUCCCAGGCUCCAGUGACAGGUACCCUUAUUGACCUUGCUUUGUUUUCUUCCUGGUGCAUCUAUUAUUAGUUAAUUCAUCUUCUAAUUAAAAAUAGUAUUUAUUGAGCUCUCCUGUGUUCCAGGCACUUGGCCAGGGAUUGGGAAAACGCUGGGGAAAAACAAGGGGCUGGUCCACUCUUAUAAAGCUUAUGGCCAAUGGGGAACACAAAUGGUAAGUUUAAAAAAAACCCCACAGGAAUAAAUGUCCAUUUGUGACUGUGAUUGGCCUGGGAAGGAGACAGAAUUGGUGAUAGGAAAACUGAAAAUGUGGGGUUUUCAACUGGGCUGAAAAGUUCCACAAGGUUUGAGUUGGAGUCUAAAGGCCGAGUGGAAGUUCCUGGGCACAGAGAAGGAAGAACCCUUCAUGAUGAGGGACCGGCACGUUCAAAGUCCCACCAUACGAGGAGACGUGGGUCUCCUAAGACCAAGCCUAGCCUCGAACUUGCCAUCCUCCUGCCUCAGCCUCCCUGAUCACUGGGAUUACAGGUGGGACCUUGGCAGCUGUCCCUAGUUCUGAGUGCCUCUUGGGACCCAGCUCUUUGCCCCACACUGUUAAGCUGCCUCCUUUGUCCCACUGUCCUCUGGGACUCCUCACGUACCUCCACUGAGCCGCACCAGAGGGCAGGGCCCACCUGUCACCUGUCCUGAGACUCACAGGAUGGGGAUCUUGGCUGUAGCCCCACAUCGCCCGCCCCACAGCAGCAGCAGAACCCCGGGCUCUACCCACAACGCUCUUCCACGGGCUGGGACCAGAUGGGCUGUCCAAACUGUCCCCAUCGCCACCUUGAGCAAAAUACCAAGAUGCUACCAAAGCAAGCCUGGCUUUCCACGGCUGCUGUCCUGUCAGCACAUGGACGAUGGCGGUUCCAGAUCAGGCCCUUCAGAAAAGGAACCAUCUAUAAGCCCGGUGCGAAGGGAGGAGGGUCGGAGAAGCCAUUCCACAGGCUCCGUCUCCCGCAGGCUCCGCAGGUGAUCUGUGUGGUUCUGGCCGAGUGAUGCCCGGGGCCGGUUGGUUUCUGCAGCUCUCGGGAAAGUGAGGCGAUGCUGACGUUCAGGUCUCGUUUGAGGAUCGAGUUGGACACAGAAUCGGCGGCCGGGCAGCCUCCACCCACGGACACGAGAACAGGGCAGAUGUUGGCUUGUCACGGAGGAACGUUGUUUUUUUGUUUUGUUUUGUUUUGUUUUUUAAAGUUGCUGGAUCUGAUGUCAGAUGACAAAAUAAUCUUUUAAGACUGUGGAGUCCCCAGACGUCAGAUUUGGGGCGGCAGGUCGCCCAGGCCCCGGGGUGCUCGGCUCCCCUAGUGAUGGCCUUCAGGGUCAGCUGGGAGGGCCACUGCAGCACCUUCAGGGGCACAGGUCCUCCCGGUGACACUGCCAUCCUACAGCUCGCUGUGCUCUGUGCCUUGGAGGUCGCUUGGUCUCACUCUUAAACCCAGAGGCUCCCAGGACGUGAGUCCUUGCAGUGAUGGAAGCUCCCUGGGUUUCAUGAGAUGGAGGUCGUGGGAACCUUGUCUCCUGUUGAUCUGAGCCAGCCCUCCCGUCCACCCCGCCCUCAUCAUGUCACUGUGGGCAGCGUGAGCGCUCUGGGUAGACAGGUCUGAAUGUGCAUCCUUAGCUAGCUGUGUGGCCUUGACUAAGUUGCUUGCAUCUCUGAGCCACAGUCUGUGGAUCAAGAAAUCCUAUACCUGAGCUGUGUGGCUUGGGGAGUCAGCAAUAAUGUCUUCACAGCACCGAGCACAGUGCUAGGCACUGACUUGGGACACAGGGACUGGAAAAUGGUCACAAUAAGCUCAAUAACAUUAGAAGUUAUUAUUAUUGUUGUUGUUAUUAUUAUUAGCAUUUAUUCAAUCUAUGCUUUUUAAGACUCUAAAGAGUUGUUCUGUUCGAAACAGGCUCAUAGAAAGAGAAGGUCGUGCAGUCAGUUGGGGAGAGGCCCCAGUGCGAGGAGAACACUUGAUCUGUGGACGUUUGGGGCUGAGGAUUUAUAUACUUAUAUAUGUGUGAUUGGCAGUCCUAAAGAGAGGUUCCAGGAGUGGCUGUCAGGGGAGACACUGAUCACAAAGCCGAGUGUAAGCAAGAAUCAGGCUUCCUUCUCUGCUACAGGAACACGCACCCUCUGGGGCCUGGUUUUCAUUUGUAAUCUUAGUAACUCGGCCGCUGCAGACAGCGAACCUUGUAUUGAUCCGGAGCCCUGCAGGGGAGCUCGGCCUCGGGAAGCUGGGGACUGUGAUUUCGCCUAUUAGUUAGUACUCUCCAGAGCACGUGUGUGCGUGUGCAUCUGUGUGUGUGUGUGUGUGCACGCGCAUCUGCAUCACCAAGUGAGGUUGAUUCUGGGUCUUGCAGGGCCUGGUGGGGGUCCUCCACAGGGGGAAGGCUGUAGUUCUUCAGUGUCUGAUGACUGAGAGGGUCAAGAGAGGCUCCUCCCAUUUCCUUCCUUCCUCCCAGAUCACAAGCUACUCCAGGCCAUGGUUCCAGUGCAUGCUGUUAAGACUGGGCGGGAAAUGCGUAUAACCAUCCCUGCCCAGCGAAGUUGUCCUGUGCAUUGAUCUGAGCAGCCAUCACACAUGAAUCAAAAUGCUUUUCAAAAAUGUUUAAGGAGAUGGGAAUGUUAGCUAGCCUGGUCUGGUCAUUGCAACUGUAUACAUGGAUUAAAUCAUCACACCAUGCUCCAUGCAACGUACCUCUGAAAUAACAAUUUUUGAAGGUUAGGGAGUUAAUGACUCACCUUGAGGAGCAGCAUUUCUGACCACCCUCUGCCUCCCGAGAAGCCCCAGGAACUCCAGGAAUCUCCUAAAACUCUUGGAACUCUCAGGCCACAGAUCCUUUCUUUCGGGCAGAGAAACUGACAGUUCUGUAAGAAAAGAAAAACAUCAAGAUACUGAGACAUGGUGGUUCCCAAAUGAAUAGGCUGAUUCACUCCAUCAUCAGCCUAGAAGGAAUCCUGUCAGUCUAUACCCUGUCCUCAUGUGCAUGGGACUCACAAAUGGCCUCUCAGAGCCACGCUGUGCAGGGUAGCUUCAGUGCAAGAGAGACAGACCCAGACCAUCUGCUGCAUUUAAAUCUGUGGAAUAUUAUAAAAAUUGACUAACAGAGGUGAGAGUAGCUGCCUUGGGAACAGAACAGGGAUGAUAAAAGCUGAAACCACUAGUUCUCAUUAAAAGAUUUCAGCACUCUUUUUUUAAGAUAGGUACCACGUGCAUGUUUUAUUUCAUCCAAUACAGAAUUUACUUUUAAAACAAUUUUCUUAGAACAAAAGGAUGCUUCCCAUUGAACCAGUGCAUUAACUAAGGCUGAGAAAGGUUGGAUGAGCUGCCCAACACCACACGGCAAGGACGUGGAAGAGCCAAGUUUAACUCCACAACUGUCUGUCUGAAAACCUCAGGAUGGUGCCCUUCCCUGCUUGCUGAGUAAAAUCCGUUCAAGAAAACCAGCCUCUGACAAAACACUCCUGCUGUUAAGAGACUCUUCAAGGCUCUCGUUAAGGCACUGGGGCCCUGAGGUGUGUCUGGCUGUUCAUGAGUGAUUCUAGGCAGGUGCUCGUCACUGUGACCAAGACUAGGAGUGCUGAAAUUCAAUAUGGCGGCCCCCAAGGAUUGCCAGGAGACAGCAAGAAAUGAAAAACGUGCAGCCUUAAAAUGCGUCAUUGAUGUCUGACUGCAUGGGGAAUUGGGGAGUUGGGAGGAAUUCUUUUAGUGAUUUUUUUGUGUGUGUGUGUCUAAAAAAUCACCUUUGCUUGAAAUAAAUAAAUAAAUAAAAUGAGCUCCAUGCCGGAAGCCUCUGAUGUCUUUGUAAAUGCUGUUGUUUCAAGUGUUAGCAGGAUUUUCCUAAAUGCAGCUCCAAGAAAUGCCCGCCUCUUUUCUGUGCCACCAUUAUAGGCAGCGGACAGGGCUGCUCUGGAGUUCUCCUGGAUGCAGACAAACAGAGACUGAUAGUUAGGGAUGGCAUCAAGCAAGAGACAGAAAAAAUAUUGAGGAAGACACAGAGUGUCCCACUUUGGAGCUAACAAAUUAAAUGCUUUGGGGGCUGAGAUUGUCUCUUUUUGGUGGAAAACAUCCUAUGGGGCCCCAUUUGGAUCGGUACUCCUGUUCAGGGAAGGCUACUUCCUCUU
Ictidomys tridecemlineatus (thirteen-lined ground squirrel) is the source of this 7436-nucleotide long non-coding RNA. RefSeq lists it as uncharacterized. The record is from RefSeq and is a predicted model, not a curated record. NCBI's taxonomy places the organism in Eukaryota, Metazoa, Chordata, Mammalia, Rodentia, Sciuridae.